UGACGUUAGCGGCGGACGGGUGAGUAACACGUUGGGUAACCUACCUAUAAGAACUGGAAUAACUCCGGGAAACCGGGGCUAAUGCCGGAUAACAUUUAGAACCGCAUGGUUCUAAAGUGAAAGAUGGUUUUGCUAUCACUUAUAGAUGGACCCGCGCCGUAUUAGCUAGUUGGUAAGGUAAUGGCUUACCAAGGCAACGAUACGUAGCCGACCUGAGAGGGUGAUCGGCCACACUGGAACUGAGACACGGUCCAGACUCCUACGGGAGGCAGCAGUAGGGAAUCUUCCGCAAUGGGCGAAAGCCUGACGGAGCAACGCCGCGUGAGUGAUGAAGGGUUUCGGCUCGUAAAACUCUGUUAUUAGGGAAGAACAAACGUGUAAGUAACUGUGCACGUCUUGACGGUACCUAAUCAGAAAGCCACGGCUAACUACGUGCCAGCAGCCGCGGUAAUACGUAGGUGGCAAGCGUUAUCCGGAAUUAUUGGGCGUAAAGCGCGCGUAGGCGGUUUCUUAAGUCUGAUGUGAAAGCCCACGGCUCAACCGUGGAGGGUCAUUGGAAA
This 560-nucleotide ribosomal RNA is filed under the name Staphylococcus sp. CH414a_13T. Its description in RNAcentral is "bacterial SSU rRNA". It matches the Rfam family "Bacterial small subunit ribosomal RNA", at positions 87 to 632 of the family's 1533-position model. Lineage: Bacteria; Bacillati; Bacillota; Bacilli; Caryophanales; Staphylococcaceae. The record is from RNAcentral.